UAAACAGAAGCGAAUGUUCGCACUCAGUUUCGACCUGAUUAAAGGGUUAACCCCUGUUUAU
This 61-nucleotide transfer RNA is filed under the name Gondogeneia antarctica. RNAcentral describes it as "tRNA-Arg". The record is from RNAcentral. Lineage: Eukaryota; Metazoa; Arthropoda; Malacostraca; Amphipoda; Pontogeneiidae.